AUUCAAUCCAUCUCCAUUUCCAUUUACAUUCCGUUCCUCCCAUUCGGCCCCUUCCCUCCCACGUAUAUAUAUAUACACAUACACACAUCACCUUGUAAUUGCUCUGUCAUAACCCCCAAUCUCUCCGCUCUCUCUCUCCAACCUCAGAUCUCUCUCUCUCUCUCUCCCCCCCUUUCUCCCUUCAGCUUGCCGUUUCGCCGACCUCCGUAAUGGCCGAUCAGCUCACUGACGAUCAGAUCUCCGAAUUCAAGGAGGCCUUCAGCCUAUUCGACAAGGACGGCGAUGGUUGUAUCACUACCAAGGAGCUGGGCACAGUGAUGCGGUCUUUGGGACAGAACCCUACUGAAGCUGAGCUUCAGGACAUGAUCAAUGAGGUUGAUGCUGAUGGAAAUGGAACGAUUGAUUUCCCUGAGUUCCUCAACCUGAUGGCUCGGAAGAUGAAGGAUACUGACUCUGAGGAGGAGCUCAAGGAAGCUUUCCGGGUUUUUGACAAGGACCAGAACGGCUUCAUUUCUGCAGCUGAGCUUCGCCAUGUUAUGACAAAUCUUGGGGAAAAGCUCACAGAUGAGGAAGUUGAUGAAAUGAUUCGUGAGGCUGAUGUGGAUGGAGAUGGCCAGAUCAACUACGAGGAAUUCGUCAAGGUCAUGAUGGCCAAGGCUCGCCAAGUCUGUUACCCUAGUUCGUCCCGGAGAUCUCUCUCUCUCUCUCUCUUUCUCUCUCUGGCUGCUUGCUCCCUCGCUCUACACAAGCGCACACGCAUAUCCGUUGAUAGCAUAAUUGGCCUGGUCUCAUGUGCUGGACGCAGCCAUCUAAAUCCAAUUGGGGGGGGGUUGAAUUACCGGCGGCUGGCUCCUGAAAAUUGAUAUUAUAGACAAGUGGACGAGUGCUUGUUGGGCCGUGAGAAGUGGGGGGGCAUCAGAGCCGCGCAAGGAUAUUAUUACAUGGUUAUAAUGAUGUUGUAGCUGAUCCAGUUGGUCGCAAUAUCUAGCGUCCUUGUUACAUAAUAGGUUGGGCCGUCCGGGCAUUACAUGUGACCUCUUGGGAGAGCGUCAGGAGUUGGGCAGGAAGAGAGGCUUUGUCGUCAUGGGGUAGGGCUGUUGGGUCUCAUCGUAUUUAGAGUACAUGGGGUAACAGUGAUUACGACUGAAGGGAUAAGGGAAGUAGUGUUCCAUCGGUGAAACAAUCUAGUGCGGGAGAAUCUUUUGUUGGAAAACUUUUUUCUAGGAAAAUUUUUCCCCAGAUUUUUCAUUGUUCUUUUUGCGCGGAAGGGCUAUUGUUUCUUAUUAAAAAAAAAAACUGAAAAAAAUAAUGUAACUAGGAUAAUUAAGAGAGUAUGGCUUUGUUUGGGAUUGAGGUGAGACAGUUUGAUUAUAUUAAGUAGUUUGAUAAAUUAGUUAAGUUGAGUUUUAAGUAUAAUAAUAAUUAUUUAAUAAAUUACAAGAACUUAACUCAAUGCACUUUAUGCAUAAAAAAAAUAUUUAAAUUGAAUUAAAAUGUAUCAAAUGUUUUAUGUAAUAACGUUUGACAAUGAGGUUAACAUAAUGCAACUUCAAACUCAGGCAAAGGCAAAAUGUGGCUGGGGUGGACUUAAAUAGGAAAAUUGUAGACUGAUAUAUAAAAAUAUGUGAAUACAAUAAUUUGCUUUUUGAAAUUGCAAGUGAUUAGUCUCUGUGGGGGAGAAAGAAAACGACAGAUGAUGACGACGAUGUGUGUCCGCGCGCGCACACGCGCAUAGGAAGAGAGAGAUGGAUAGAUAUGCAGCAUCUGGAGGGAAGUGGGUUAGGUUUGAGCGGCUAGGAUUCUAUCUCAUUUGGGCGGGCUGGAGGAGGUAUUGGAUUCUCUCUCUCUCUCUCUCAUUUAUAUAUAUAUAUAUAUAUAAACCUCCAAUGUAUAUAAGUGUUGCUGCAGCCUUUUAAGGGUACCAUUACAUUCUUUUUUUGGGGGGGAGGGGGGGUAUCUGAUUCUAUGUUUGGUUGGGUGGGGGCUGCAUUUGGCAUUGCAUCUGCUUCCAUAGUAUGCUUCUCGUGGAAGGGUUUAGGUCUAUUAUUAAACACAACUAUAUAAUAAUGCAGAAAAUAUAAUGCCCAAUCCACCUGGAAAGGACACUUCCAAAUUGAUGCCCCCUAUGUCAAAAGAUUUUGUAUUUCCCCUCUUCCUUGUCUUUUCUCCUUUUUAUUUUUUUUAUUGGUUUAUUUUUCUUGUAUCAUACCUCACUUCACUUUAAUAACCCAUCAAAAUGUCUUGUGAAAACGAUUUAUGUUAAAGUAACAUUUGUUAAAAUAAGUAAGAUAAGAUUUUAUCAAGAUAAUUUAUCUGUAAAAUUUAAGAUAAAUUAUUUAAAAUGAGAGAAAAAAUAAAUUUAUUUUAAAAGUUUAAAAUAAAAAGUUAUAUGAUUUAUUUUUAAAAAAUUUAACAAAUAAAAUGAAAAAUAUUUUUGUCUUGAAUAUUUUUUAUAUUUUAUUUUUUUAUUUAUAUCUUAGUUAACAAAUGCUACUUAAAUAAAAAAAAUUCAUAAUAAAAUAGACUCUUUUUUUUAAUUAUUAAAAAGUUUGUCGUGGUUUCGUGAAAGCACCAAAUAAAAGAAACCCACCAAAUAACUGGAUAAUGUAUGAAAUAAUUGCAAAGGCGAAAGUCCCUAGAGCAUGAGAUGAAAGAGCAACGAAGUGCCAUCUGUGGAGUGUCCCUACUUGCCGUCUUCUUUACCGAAGAAGAGAAAAGAUGGGAAAGGAGAAGUCGCGAAGGACUGGCAAGAGAGGAAAGCAUCGAAGAGUUCCCAGUAAACAUUGUUCCAUCCUUUAACUAAUUUGUUUUUUUAUAUAUAUGUCUCCUUGUGGUGUGAUGAUGGGUCUCCUGUUUGGGCCUUACCUCAAAACCAAUUAUAUUACAUGGUACUGUGUGAUCACAUUAUGUAUCAAACUCAGUCCAACAAUGUGCCCAAUUAGUGUUAUUGGGCCAUAAAUGGGUAUGUAUUAUUGUUGUUUCUUGGC
This is an RNA transcript of Diospyros lotus (date-plum), 2987 nucleotides long. It is a transcript of the gene named calmodulin-7-like, with no coding region annotated. The record is from RefSeq and is a predicted model, not a curated record. Lineage: Eukaryota; Viridiplantae; Streptophyta; Magnoliopsida; Ericales; Ebenaceae. The transcript is spliced from 4 exons.